CCUACGGGCGGCAGCAGUGGGGAAUAUUGGACAAUGGAGGAGACUCUGAUCCAGCAAUUCUGUGUGCACGAAGAAGGUUUUCGGAUUGUAAAGUGCUUUCAACAGGGAAGAAGGAAGUGACGGUACCUGUAGAAGAAGCGACGGCUAAAUACGUGCCAGCAGCCGCGGUAAUACGUAUGUCGCGAGCGUUAUCCGGAAUUAUUGGGCAUAAAGGGCAUCUAGGCGGCAAACCAAGUCAGGGGUGAAAACUUGUGGCUCAACCAUAAGCUUGCCUUUGAAACUGGUUUACUAGAGUAUUGGAAAGGUGGGCGGAACUACACGAGUAGAGGUGAAAUUCGUAGAUAUGUGUAGGAAUGCCGAUGAUGAAGAUAGCUCACUGGACGAUAACUGACGCUGAAGUGCGAAAGCUAGGGGAGCGAACAGGAUUAGAUACCCGGG
RNAcentral lists this ribosomal RNA (438 nucleotides) under uncultured bacterium. RNAcentral describes it as "bacterial SSU rRNA". It matches the Rfam family "Bacterial small subunit ribosomal RNA", at positions 338 to 790 of the family's 1533-position model. The record is from RNAcentral.